CCUGCCAUGAGACGCAUUGCAAAUGUGGCUAAUGUGACACACGUGUGUCAGUAGGUGGCAGAGAGGAGAAAGCCUAUGUUUAUAUUCAGUGCUGUGACAAAUGCACAUCUGAAUGAUUAGUGGGCUAACAUU
This is a small nucleolar RNA of Apodemus sylvaticus (European woodmouse), 132 nucleotides long. RefSeq annotates it as small nucleolar RNA SNORA17. Lineage: Eukaryota; Metazoa; Chordata; Mammalia; Rodentia; Muridae. The record is from RefSeq and is a predicted model, not a curated record. The transcript has a single exon.